Molecule: ribosomal RNA, 483 nt
Filed under: uncultured bacterium
Lineage: Bacteria
Description: partial 16S ribosomal RNA
Rfam family: Bacterial small subunit ribosomal RNA
Source: RNAcentral
UUGAACGCUGGCGGCAGGCCUAACACAUGCAAGUCGAGCGGAUGAAGGGAGCUUGCUCCUGGCUUCAGCGGCGGACGGGUGAGUAAUGCCUAGUAAUCUGCCUGGUAGUGGGGGAUAACGUCCGGAAACGGGCGCUAAUACCGCAUACGUCCUGAGGGAGAAAGUGGGGGAUCUUCGGACCUCACGCUAUCAGAUGAGCCUAGGUCGGAUUAGCUAGUUGGUGGGGUAAAGGCCUACCAAGGCGACGAUCCGUAACUGGUCUGAGAGGAUGAUCAGUCACACUGGAACUGAGACACGGUCCAGACUCCUACGGGAGGCAGCAGUGGGGAAUAUUGGACAAUGGGCGAAAGCCUGAUCCAGCCAUGCCGCGUGUGUGAAGAAGGUCUUCGGAUUGUAAAGCACUUUAAGUUGGGAGGAAGGGCAGUAAGUUAAUACCUUGCUGUUUUGACGUUACCAACAGAAUAAGCACCGGCUAACUUCGUG